Molecule: long non-coding RNA, 847 nt
Filed under: Cotesia glomerata
Lineage: Eukaryota; Metazoa; Arthropoda; Insecta; Hymenoptera; Braconidae
Description: uncharacterized LOC123267531, transcript variant X2
Source: RNAcentral
UUCAGGCGCCAGUGCACUUGUAGUAAAUCAGUUGCGGAUUGAUGGCUGUUGUCACGACAUUGAGGUCAACGGUACCGGCAUCACCAGAAUUCUUUUCUUCACCAUCGUAAUCCCAAAUACAAGCUUUACUCUGUUUCAUUUUAUUUUAUCUUAUUUAUUUAUUUAUAUUACAUCAUGAUUUAUAAGCAUUAAACUCGCCAAGGAAUAAGACACGCGUGCGUUCUACGAAGAAUCUUAGGUACUCAAGAAAAACGCGAAACAGACGAUACUCUAGUGAUUUCCUUUGUCACGAUACAAUAUUAUUGCGCGCUGGAAGAUAGUCUACUGCUUGCUCGAGGAUGGCAUUUUAACUGAGCACGCAAAUAAUAUUUUACAGGGCCAAUGUCUUCGUGAUCCGUGACAGCCUUGACCUUGCUGAUAAGUAACACUGCUUUAAAUGAUCAAAUAAGAUUUGAUGUUUAUAAAAAUAUGAUGAGCUAAACGUAGCAACAGGGUGAAUAAUCUAGGAAAUAUAAAUACAGAAAGGAACCAUUGGUAUGUAAAACCGGAUGGAUUAUUUCCCAUUAUAAAUUGCUGGUACCAGGCCCUACGUGGCACACGCUACUGCCAGUAAGAAAACGGCUGUACGGUUAAUUAGUAGUCUUAUCUGAAAAUAACUUUGCUCUGAAAGUCAUCUGCAUUUUCUCAUCUUGUAGCUUUUGGAUGAUGCAACUGCUUGCGUGACGAAACAGGAUGAACGACCUCUGUUCUUCACUCACUUAAAAUGAGCUUAAGAAAAGAAGAAGAAUAGCCCACAAUAAUGGAAAGAGAGUACAAAGAAAAUCAAAUUUAGAAUAACCGUAGAGGA